AAGUUCAAGGAGACCGGAGGCAAGACGACUGACUAUUGGUGUUGCCCCAUGAAAGUGGCAAGCGAUGGAAAGCCUGCAGGUGGGGCAGGAAGAACCACAGCCCAUCAGCAGUCCAUCUGCAGUGUGAAGAUGCCCAGAAGUGGUGAAGACAGAGCUGAAUUUAUGGAGUACAUAAACGAGGCAUCGCUAUACGAAGACUCUCCUAAGAAAUAGCACGCAAUUGUGAAUGCAGGCAAACCGAGGUACCGGCACAUAUGAGACAUUUGGAAGCUAAUGACAGAGCACAAACCUUUCCGUCCGGCUUGCCCUGUGCUUUUCCCCAGGUCCUGCAACAACAGGCCCUGUAAUGUGUCGUUUUGCUUCUAACGGAGUUUGCAUGCUUUUGAAAGUGACUUAGAUUUUGGCAAAGUUUAUUUAAUGCAUUAUGCAUUAAAGUUGUCAUCAGGAUUUAACA
This 454-nucleotide long non-coding RNA is filed under the name Sus scrofa (pig). RNAcentral's name for it is "lncRNA (ENSSSCG00050050078.1)". The record is from RNAcentral. Lineage: Eukaryota; Metazoa; Chordata; Mammalia; Artiodactyla; Suidae.